This 76-nucleotide transfer RNA is filed under the name Duganella lactea. RNAcentral's name for it is "tRNA-Thr". It matches the Rfam family "tRNA". From Rfam's summary of the family: Transfer RNA (tRNA) molecules are approximately 80 nucleotides in length. Lineage: Bacteria; Pseudomonadati; Pseudomonadota; Betaproteobacteria; Burkholderiales; Oxalobacteraceae. The record is from RNAcentral.
GCCCUCAUAGCUCAGUCGGUAGAGCAGCGCUUUCGUAAGGCGUUGGUCCGGGGUUCAAAUCCUCGUCGGGGCACCA